This 244-nucleotide unclassified non-coding RNA is filed under the name Hevea brasiliensis (rubber tree). The record is from RNAcentral. Lineage: Eukaryota; Viridiplantae; Streptophyta; Magnoliopsida; Malpighiales; Euphorbiaceae.
GUUAUAGUAAAAGGAGAACUGUUAUAAAGGGAUAUGACUGUAAAAGCUCAAAACAACAACAACAAACAUAUCCCGUGUAAUCCCACAUCCCACAAGUGAAGUCUGAGACAAUAGCAUGUGCAAACCUUACCCUUACCUCAUAGAGUAGAGAUGCAGUUUCUUAAAGAAACUCGGCUCAAAUGCAACAAAUAUCAAAGUAAUUACGGCAGUAGAGGAAACAGGUCAAUUAAUACGAAAAGCACAA